This 27-nucleotide small RNA is filed under the name Bombyx mori (domestic silkworm). RNAcentral describes it as "ovarian small RNA-20594". Lineage: Eukaryota; Metazoa; Arthropoda; Insecta; Lepidoptera; Bombycidae. The record is from RNAcentral.
UACCAUAAUGCUUACCUACUGACUGAC